UAAAUAUCACAUAUUGAGAUCCAUUAGGUUGCACAAAAGAAUAAUUGCUUAAUGGAUGUCCAUAUUGUGUCAAAAGAUGCAAGAUUAGCAAUUCAGCUGUAAAGUGUUUCAACAUUAGCUAGAUUAGCAAUUCAAAAGGCUUCAAGCAGGUUUAGAGUUCAUCAUCACGCUGCUUCUUCAAGGGAUUUCUAGGUGCAAGGUUAGUUGGAGCUAAAGUUGAGAGUGCAUUAGUAGACAGUGAAAUAGGUGU
Molecule: long non-coding RNA, 250 nt
Filed under: Coffea arabica (coffee)
Lineage: Eukaryota; Viridiplantae; Streptophyta; Magnoliopsida; Gentianales; Rubiaceae
Description: long non-coding RNA (CARA_LNC006378)
Source: RNAcentral